This 943-nucleotide ribosomal RNA is filed under the name Protodrilus sp. 8 MDD-2014. RNAcentral's name for it is "bacterial SSU rRNA". It matches the Rfam family "Eukaryotic small subunit ribosomal RNA", at positions 48 to 996 of the family's 1831-position model. Lineage: Eukaryota; Metazoa; Annelida; Polychaeta; Protodrilidae. The record is from RNAcentral.
GCCAUGCAUGUCUAAGUACAUCUUUUUUUACUGGAGAAACCGCGAAUGGCUCAUUAAAUCAGUUAUUGUUUAUUUGAUGGUAACAGGUUACAUGGAUAACCGUGGCAAUUCUAGGGCUAAUACAUGCUAAAAAAGUUGUUCGCCUUCGGGUGGGCACACUUGCUCUUAUUAGACCAAACCAACGUGGUUUCGGCCACUCCUUUGGUGACUCUGGAUAAUUCCGCUGAUCGCAGGGCCUCCGCGCCGGCGAUGCAUCAUUCAAAUAUCUGCCUUAUCAACUUUCGAUGGUAAGAUAGAGGCUUACCAUGGUUGUAACGGGUAACGGGGAAUUAGGGUUCGAUUCCGGAGAGGGAGCCUGAGAAACGGCUACCACAUCCAAGGAAGGCAGCAGGCGCGCAAAUUACCCACUCCCGGCACGGGGAGGUAGUGACGAAAAAUAACAAUACGGGACUCUWAUGAGGCCCCGUAAUUGGAAUGAGUACACUUUAAACCCUUUAACGAGUAUCUAUUGGAGGGCAAGUCUGGUGCCAGCAGCCGCGGUAAUUCCAGCUCCAAUAGCGUAUAUUAAAGUUGUUGCAGUUAAAAAGCUCGUAGUUGGAUUUUGGGCCCCCGCCGAGCGGUUCCGCGCAAGCGGUCUACUGCCCGGCGGAGCCUUGUUUUCACAUUAGUGUCGUGCGUCCUUCGCUGGGCGUCGGCAUCGGUGUGGACGUUUACUUUGAAGAAAUUAGAGUGUUCAAAGCAAGCAAACGCUUGAAUAAUCGUGCAUGGAAUAAUAGAAUAUGACCGUCGUCUUUAUUUUGUUGGUUUGAGAGAUCGGUGGUAAUGAUUAAGAGGGACGGACGGGGGCAUCCGUAUUGCAUCGUUAGAGGUGAAAUUCUUGGAUCGAUGCAAGACGCCCUACAGCGAAAGCAUUUGCCAAGAACGUUUUCAUUAAUCAAGAACG